This 51-nucleotide non-coding RNA is filed under the name Palpitomonas bilix. The record is from RNAcentral.
UCAUAUUUUGUUAUGCUUUUUCUUUUAUUUUUACUUUUUUUUUUACUACUU